UAUAAAACUUAAUAUAGAUAUAGCAUGAACGAGCACAAUAGUGAUAUGAUUUGUUGUUGCAGAACAUGAGCUACAACAAUGGUAGCAACUCAAUUCUGAAAAAGCUGAGGCUGAAGAAUCCGAAACUUGUGCUGUUGGAGAGUUGUUGCAGUGUUGAGGACCUAAAAAUCGUCCAUGCCCAUUUGCUAAGAACUCACCUUUUCUUCGAUGUAUUUGUAGCAAGUCGCCUUGUUGCUUUCUGCAUACACUCAACUGCCAACUUGCUUCAUUACGCCUUAAGGGUUGUCUCCCAAAUAAAAAAUCCCAACCUUUUCAUCUACAAUGCUCUCAUCCGAGGCUGUUCCACCAGCCAAUACCCACAAAAUUCUUUUCACUAUUACAUCAAAGCUCUACGCUUUGGUGUCAUACCUGAUAAUAUCACUCACCCGUUUUUGGUUAAAGCGUGUACUCAGUUUGAGUCUGCACCUAUGGGCAUGCAAGCACAUGGUCAAAUUAUUAAGCAUGGAUUUGAACUAGACUUUUUCGUUCAAAACUCCCUUCUUCAUAUGUAUGCAACUGUUGGGGACAUAAAGGCUGCAAGGAGCAUUUUUCAGAGAAUUGGUCGGUUUGACGUGGUUUCAUGGACUAGCAUGAUUUCAGGGUAUCACCGCUGUGGAGAUGUUGAAUCUGCACGUCAACUGUUUGAUAGAAUGCCCGACAGGAAUUUGGUGACCUGGAGCACGAUGAUUAGUGGUUAUGCACGGAAUAAUUAUUUUGACAAGGCGAUUGAGUUGUUUGAGGCUCUUCAGGCCGAAGGGGUGGUGGCUAAUGAGACUGUGAUGGUUGGGGUCAUAUCUUCUUGUGCUCAUUUGGGGGCUCUUGCAAUGGGGGAGAAAGCUCAUGACUAUGUGACGAGAAAUAACUUAAGUUUGAAUCUGAUUCUUGGGACAGCUGUGGUUGAUAUGUAUGCAAGAUGUGGGGACCUUGGGAAAGCUGUUAAGGUUUUUGAGGAACUGCCGGAAAAGGAUGUGCUUUGUUGGACAGCUUUGAUUGCCGGACUGGCCAUGCAUGGUUAUGCAGAGAAAGUACUGUGGUAUUUUUCAGAAAUGCUGAAAACGGGGUUGGUCCCAAGGGACAUUACGUUCACUGCAGUGUUGUCAGCAUGCAGCCAUGCAGGAAUGGUUGAGAGGGGUUUGGAAAUAUUUGAAAGCAUGAAAGAAGAUCAUGGAGUGGAGCCAAGAUUGGAGCACUAUGGAUGUAUGGUUGAUCUUCUUGGUCGUGCAGGGAAGUUGGGAGAGGCAGAGAAGUUUAUUCUCGAAAUGCCUGUGAAGCCAAAUGCUCCAAUAUGGAGAGCACUGCUAGGAGCAUGCAGAAUUCACAAGAAUGUAGAAGUUGGGGAAAGGGUGGGGAAAAUUUUGUUAGAGAUGCAACCAGAACAUAGUGGUCAUUAUGUGCUACUCUCGAACAUAUACGCUCGCGCAAAUAAGUGGAAAGAUGUUACUGUUAUGAGGCAGAUGAUGAAGGACAAAGGAGUAAGAAAGCCACCUGGAUACAGUCUCAUCGAAGUAGAUGGAAAGAUUCACGAAUUUACAAUUGGUGAUAAAACACACCCGGAAAUAGAGAAUAUAGAAAGAAUGUGGGAAGAUAUAAUACUCAAAAAAAUAAAACUAGCAGGGUAUGUUGGAAAUACAGCGGAUACAUUGUUUGACAUUGAUGAAGAGGAAAAGGAAAGUGCACUUCACAGGCAUAGUGAAAAGCUGGCCAUUGCAUACGGAAUCAUGAAGGUUCAGGCUCCUGCACCCAUUCGGGUUGUUAAAAACUUGCGUGUCUGUGAAGAUUGUCACACUGCUACUAAGUUUAUUUCAAAGGUUUUUCAAGUAGAGCUGAUAGUGAGAGAUCGAAAUCGAUUCCAUCAUUUUAAAGAAGGCACGUGUUCUUGUAAGGAUUACUGGUGAAACAACAAUCUCACUGUUUACGUAUUACUACGACCAUGGUUUAGAUAUAGCACAACCGGAUCAAAUCAAAUGAAUGAAGUUUCUCAAAAUUAUUAAAUCUGAAUUUUAACUAAUUUGAUUAUACGAUCAACGUUUUACUAAUUUUAAAACGUUUUAAAAUUUACAUAUUGUAAGCCUUUUUUAUUUAGCAUCUACUUUUAAACUAUUGUAGUCAGGUUUACAUGUGUUUAUCAACCGACCUCUAUUAUAUUUUAGUCAAGUUUUAGGGUAGAUAGUUUCUGAAAUUCAUAGUUUUCAUAGAGUCUCUUGAGGGUGAGAGGUCUGCGAAGUAUAGGGUUCUACGAUGUUGGCAGCAGGAGUCUCCUUUAGCGAGUGCAAAGAAACCGUGAAGGGAGUCUUGGGCUGUGGUGUGCAAAGAGUCUGGGGCUUAGGAUUCUCACGAGUGCAAAGUAACCGUGAGCUACCCCAUGGCUACGCAUGAUUCAGAAUUGAGAGUUUAAUUUGUUUGGGGAAUUAAUGAGAACCUGCACAUAUCAAGUUUCUGAAAUAGAAUCUGUAGGACGCCAAAGUGGGCCUCUGUCUUCACUCAACAUGUCUUCUUGAGCCAGAUUGAGAUUCAACUGACCAAAUAGAUCAAAUACUCAGUUCUGGGUUUUGCUCUGUUGAAGGAGUUCUGCAUUUUCCUGUCAUUGGUUUUUUAAAUUCUAAAAAUGUUCUUUUGAUUCCUGCCUUUGCAAUUUGCUUAGUUUAGUGAGUAGUGGUUGCUUGGUAGUUUUGAAUUCUUCGAAAGCUUGUCCAUAUCCAGUAAAAUCUGUAGCAUCAUAACUACAGUGCAUUGAUUCUGCAACUACAUAUU
RNA transcript from Vigna radiata var. radiata (mung bean), 2790 nucleotides. It is a transcript of the gene named pentatricopeptide repeat-containing protein At5g06540, with no coding region annotated. The transcript has 2 exons. The record is from RefSeq and is a predicted model, not a curated record. Lineage: Eukaryota; Viridiplantae; Streptophyta; Magnoliopsida; Fabales; Fabaceae.